Molecule: ribosomal RNA, 497 nt
Filed under: uncultured bacterium
Lineage: Bacteria
Description: partial 16S ribosomal RNA
Rfam family: Bacterial small subunit ribosomal RNA
Source: RNAcentral
GACGAACGCUGGCGGCGUGCCUAAUACAUGCAAGUAGAACGCUGAAGAGAGGAGCUUGCUCUUCUUGGAUGAGUUGCGAACGGGUGAGUAACGCGUAGGUAACCUGCCUUGUAGCGGGGGAUAACUAUUGGAAACGAUAGCUAAUACCGCAUAACAAUGGAUGACACAUGUCAUUUAUUUGAAAGGGGCAAUUGCUCCACUACAAGAUGGACCUGCGUUGUAUUAGCUAGUAGGUGAGGUAACGGCUCACCUAGGCGACGAUACAUAGCCGACCUGAGAGGGUGAUCGGCCACACUGGGACUGAGACACGGCCCAGACUCCUACGGGAGGCAGCAGUAGGGAAUCUUCGGCAAUGGGGGCAACCCUGACCGAGCAACGCCGCGGGAGUGAAGAAGGGUUUCGGAUCGUAAAGCUCUGUUGUAAGUCAAGAACGAGUGUGAGAGUGGAAAGUUCACACUGUGACGGUAGCUUACCAGAAAGGGACGGCUAACUACGUG